RNAcentral lists this ribosomal RNA (253 nucleotides) under uncultured bacterium. Its description in RNAcentral is "partial 16S ribosomal RNA". It matches the Rfam family "Bacterial small subunit ribosomal RNA", at positions 524 to 776 of the family's 1533-position model. The record is from RNAcentral.
UACGAGGGGGGCGAGCGUUGUUCGGAAUUAUUGGGCGUAAAGGGCGCGUAGGCGGUUCGACAAGUUGGAUGUGAAAGCCCAGGGCUCAACCCUGGAAUUGCAUUCAAGACUGUUUUACUUGAAUUCGGUAGAGGUGAGUGGAAUUCCCAGUGUAGAGGUGAAAUUCGUAGAGAUUGGGAAGAACACCGGUGGCGAAGGCGGCUCACUGGACCGACAUUGACGCUGAGGCGCGAAAGCGUGGGGAGCAAACAGG